This 84-nucleotide transfer RNA is filed under the name Kickxella alabastrina. RNAcentral describes it as "tRNA-Ser". It matches the Rfam family "tRNA". Rfam says of the family: Transfer RNA (tRNA) molecules are approximately 80 nucleotides in length. Their secondary structure includes four short double-helical elements and three loops (D, anti-codon, and T loops). Lineage: Eukaryota; Fungi; Kickxellomycota; Kickxellomycetes; Kickxellales; Kickxellaceae. The record is from RNAcentral.
GGAAAAAUCGCCUAAUGGUAUGGCAAUAGUUUGCUAAACUACGGAUGUAAAAAAUCCUUGGGGGUUCGAAUCCCCUUUUUUCCG